This 462-nucleotide ribosomal RNA is filed under the name uncultured bacterium. Its description in RNAcentral is "partial 16S ribosomal RNA". It matches the Rfam family "Bacterial small subunit ribosomal RNA", at positions 29 to 507 of the family's 1533-position model. The record is from RNAcentral.
AUGCACGCUGACAGAAUGCUUAACACAUGCAAGUCGAUGGGGAAGUGGUGCUUGCACCAUGGUAACCAUGGCGGACGGGUGAGUAACGCGUAAGGAACUUACCUGCGGGACCGGGAUAACAGCAGGAAACUGCUGACAAGACCGGAUAAGGUCAUUAAGCUGCAUAGCUUAGUGAUGAAAGGAGACGCCUGCGGAGAGCCUUGCGUCCUAUUAGCUAGUUGGAGGGGUAACGGCCCACCAAGGCGAAGAUAGGUAGCCGGCCUGAGAGGGUGGACGGCCACAAGGGGACUGAGAUACGGCCCUUACUCCUACGGGAGGCAGCAGUGGGGAAUAUUGGACAAUGGGGGCAACCCUGAUCCAGCAAUUCUGUGUGCACGAAGACGGUUUUCGGAUUGUAAAGUGCUUUCAGCAGGGAAGAAGGAAGUGACGGUACCUGCAGAAGAAGCGACGGCUAAAUACGUG